This 253-nucleotide ribosomal RNA is filed under the name uncultured bacterium. RNAcentral describes it as "partial 16S ribosomal RNA". It matches the Rfam family "Bacterial small subunit ribosomal RNA", at positions 524 to 776 of the family's 1533-position model. The record is from RNAcentral.
UACAGAGGGUGCGAGCGUUAAUCGGAAUUACUGGGCGUAAAGCGUGCGUAGACGGCUAUCUAAGUCGGGUGUGAAAGUCCCGGGCUCAACCUGGGAAUUGCAUUCGAGACUGAAUAGCUAGGGUACGGUAGAGGGAAGUGGAAUUUCCGGUGUAGCGGUGAAAUGCGUAGAUAUCGGAAGGAACAUCAGUGGCGAAAGCGACUUCCUGGACCAGUACCGACGUUCAGGCACGAAAGCGUGGGGAGCAAACAGG